RNAcentral lists this unclassified non-coding RNA (167 nucleotides) under uncultured Helotiales. Its description in RNAcentral is "sequence contains ITS1". Lineage: Eukaryota; Fungi; Ascomycota; Leotiomycetes; Helotiales. The record is from RNAcentral.
CAGAGUUCAUGCCCUUCGGGGUAGAUCUCCCACCCUAUGUAUUUAUACCUUUGUUGCUUUGGUAGGCCGUCAAACCUCGGUCUGACCACCGGCUUCGGCUGGUGCGUGCCUGCCAGAGGACCCCAAACUCUGAAUAUUAGUGUCGUCUGAGUACUAUAUAAUAGUUA